Peromyscus californicus insignis is the source of this 5663-nucleotide long non-coding RNA. RefSeq lists it as uncharacterized. The transcript is spliced from 3 exons. Lineage: Eukaryota; Metazoa; Chordata; Mammalia; Rodentia; Cricetidae. The record is from RefSeq and is a predicted model, not a curated record.
UCCUCCUCUCAGCUGCUCUCUCUUUCUUUCUCGUUCACUUUUAUCCCCACUUUUCCCUUGGUUUUUUUUUUUUCCCCCCCUCCUCUCCAUUCACUUUUCUUUUCCUUGGCCUGUCAAUCUCUUGGAAGCACAGAUAAGCUCUCAGACUUUUGACCUAGCCCGUAUCUUGAGAGACAAAACGUUCAAUCUUCAAUAGUCGACGAAUUGUUCCUACCCUCACUAUGCAGAAAAAAAAAAUUCAUCAGUAGACAGUUUUGGAUGAACUCCUAGUGUAAGUAACGAACCAUAGCCGCAUUCAAAGACCAACACAGUCUAUCUGUUCUGGGCAAACUGUGGUUGCAGACUGAGUAACUUCCUUCAGUCUGUCUUCAAGUUUAAAGAUCCCUCCGUCAUCCCUAUGGGAUUCUGAGAACAACUGAAAUCAGGUGGCCUUUGGGGGAAGAAAGGAAGACUGCGCAGUCUCUUUGUGCCACUGUGGGGAGAGUAGAAGACACAGGGCUCUGCUGAUGUCACCACCUGAGGUCUAUCUACCAUUGCUGCUGAAGAUGGUGGCCUCCAAUAGUGCCAUGGCUAGGGCUCUGGCUGUGGAACAGCGCUAUGUCCUUACACGGCUUGGUCCUGGGACCCUGACUAGGAAUGAUGAGGGAAUGAAGAAACGCUACGGACACACAGACACAGGUAUAGAAAAACUGGGGUCAGGUGGGCUGUGCUGAUGGAGGAGCCACAACAGGACAGAAGUUCAGUGCGUCUAUUAUAUACAGUGAACAGGGAGGAGGGGUACUGUAGACAGCUAAGCAAGGAGGCAGAGUUAUACAUACAGAAAAGCAGGGAGGCAUUUGAGCAAGGAGCAGGGUUAUACACAGAAAAACAAGGAGGCAGGGUUAUUACAUACAACUGAACAAGGAGCAGUCUCUGCAGUGGAGAAGUCUUCAGCCCAUCAACAUCUGGAAGAAAAAGCUGCACUGGACAUUUUCUACACACACUGUCAACAUUCACACUCGGACCAGAGGAAGGCUUUGCUGUCUCUCUAACCUCACCCAGGGAAGGCUUUGCCAAUCUCGUGGGUCUGAGGCACUGGGGUCCUUGAUGUGGCGUGCCAAACACUACACAUUCACUCAGGACUUCACUCACUCCCCAGAGAACCAGAGUUGGCAUGGUGAGUGAUUUCACCACUCGGCUGAUGCAGGUGGAUUGUAUAUAGUCCUGGCUGUAGUACAGCAGAUGUUGAAGGGUGUGUGUGUGUGUGUGUGUGUGUGUGUGUGUGUGUGUGUGUGUGUUGUUCUGCAUGGUGUUUGAGUACAGAGGUCAAAAGAGGAUGUCAGAUGUCCUCUCUCUCACUCUCAGCCUUAAUCCAUUGAGACAGGUCUGUCACGGUACCUGGAGCUAGGGUGGUAGCCAACAAGCCCCAGUGAUCCCUAUGUCAUGUCUCUGUCCCCCAAAGUGGAUUCAAACUCAGCUCCUCAUGCUUUUCCACUGAGACAUCACCCUGGACCCAAUAUAUUGAAGUUUUAAUCUGAUUUUUCAGCUUUGUUUAUAUGAUCUGGAGUCUAAGUCAAUUAUGACUCACGUGUCUGCCUUUUAUCCUUUAAAUUUUUGUUUUCCCCCUUCCAUACUCCCUAUUUGGGGGUGGGGAGGGUUGUUCUCCUCUCUUGAUUCUUUUUUUUUUUUUAUUUAAUGCCAAAUGCUGUUUAUUGAAGGAGGGAAGAGGUCUUAAAUACAGGCUUACAGCACAAUGGGAGAACCCCGGAGGGCAGAGGUUCACUACCGAUGUUUUAUAAUCUUGCAUCUAAGCUGUUAACGCCCAAUAUGCAGGAUACACAGACAAGGAACUUCCCCUAAGCAUUCAGGAGGGUGGAACUCGGGAGGGAAUUAGCAUAGGGAGGAUAUCAAGGUCUCUCUUGAUUCUUUUAUUGUAAUUUUCAUGGCGUUUUUAAGAACAACUGGAAAUUGGGUCAGUAUAGUCGACACUCUAUCUUAAACAGAAUCUGCAGAAUCUUCUGUAGAUCUGUAGAUGGCACCCAGGCCUGUUAUGGGAACCAAGUGCUCCACCACAGAACUCCACACCCAGCCCUGUGUAUUCUCCUGUGUAUCUAUGCUCAUGGUCCCUUCCUCCUUCCCAAUAUUACUUACUUCUGUUUCUAGCUUUUCUCCCCCUUUAAAGUCAGACUAUGAAUCCGAGUCUUGUCUCUUUUAUUUUUGUUGGAAUUUUAAAGCAGCCGUUAUUGAGGUCACAUUUGGUUUGUAUUUCAUUAGUUUCAUUUCAUUAUUAUGAAAUUUCCCCUCCUACUCUCUGGGUAAUUAUUGUCUUCCUUGUUUUCUUUCUACAAGUGAAAGAAAACUCAUUUCUUUUGUUUUCAAUUGUCUUUAUUUUUUAAAACUUAACAAGACUUUUCCCCCCUGGGUUUUCUUUUGGGUGUACUCAAGAACUUUGAACCUCCAAUACUCUAAUUGGCAUUACUUCAGGGAUUAUUAUUUCCUUUGUGUUUCUUCUUUAGAAAAUAAUUAUUUAUGCUGGGCAUGGUGACACAUGCCUUUUGUCCCAGCACUCAGGAGGCAGGGGCAGGCAGAUCUCUGAGUUCAAAGCCAGCCUGGUCUACAGAGUGAGUUUCAGGGAAAUCAGGGCUACAGAGAGAAACCCUGUCUUGAAAAGCAAAACAAAAAGAAGGAGAAGAGGAAGGAGGAGGAGGAGGAGGAGGAGGGGGAGGAAGAAGAAGAAGAAGAAGAAGAAGAAGAAGAAGAAGAAGAAGAAGAAGAAGAAGAAGAAAGUUAUUUGUGAGAUUUGAAUUUCUGACUGCCAUUAGAAUUAUGGGUAGGCGGCAAGAGGAUAAGGAUGGAGCAGGGUGAAACUACAUUUUGUAUUAAUUUCUCAGUUAUUGCGUCAUGGUAAGGAAACAGAAUAACUCCUACAUUUUUUAAUUCACUUAGAUGUCCCUAUGGCUGAGUUCAGUGGCUUUGGUAAUAGCUUCAUGCAUAUUUGAAGAGAAUGAUAGUCUCGAGGGGUUCACUGUGUUAUGUAGACAAUAAAGGGAAGAACUUCCACUGAAGCGUUGAAGCAAGGGCUUGUGCUUAGUGACUGGGUCAUGCACCCCCACUAUUUGGGCUUUGGAAAGUCUUUCUCAUAGGGGGCUACCCUGUUCACUGUGGAAUGCUUAGUAGCAUCCUUUGUCUCUAACCUACUGGAUGUCAGUGACAUCUCUACCAGUUCUUUCAUCCAGAAAUAGCUUCAGAUGUUGCUAAUAGUCCUCUGGGUACAGAAUCACCACAACUUGGGAACCAGAACUGCUCUAAAUUUCAUAUCUACGAAUUACAUUUAAUCCACAUCAUAAAUAUAUAUUAUACAUCUUGAUUUUACAAAUAACAAUCUAUAAGCAGAACAAAUAUCCAUAAACAGAAGUCCGAGGAAGUUAAAUGUAAUCUAAGCAUCAUUUAUAAUUUCAAACAGAACCCAAAACAAACAAAAAUCAAAGCCAGAGAGCUGGGGAAAUGAUUCAGUGGGCAAGAAGACUUGCUGUGCAAGCAUGGCGACCUGAAUUCGAAUCCCAAGGAUACACAUAGAUAGCCUGGUGUGACUGAAUACAUGUCUGUAAGCCCAGAGCUGUAGGAGAGAGAGACAGGAUUGCUAGGGCCUGCUCCCUGCCAGGCUGGCUUCAAGUUCAGUGAGAGACCCUGUCUCAAGAGAGUGAGGAAGAGUGUUAUAGAGCAGGGCACCCAGUGUCCUCUUCUGGCCUCCACGUGUGCACAUGCAUCAUGAGCACACACAUAAACACACAAAGAACUCAGCGUCAACUUACGUGCCCUUCAGCACAUAACGGAACACAAACACAAAGAAAUGUGGAACAAAUUAACUGCUUGACUUAUUUGGGAUGAUUAGCUCUCAGAACUAACGCUGAGAGAAAACUGAAGGUGCAGACAUCUUUUAGCUAAACAGACUAGUCGGCAUCACUUUUCCCAUUUCUCUGUGGAUUCUAAUUAGCUUUCCUUGUCAUUUAUUUUCCCACUUCUGGAUCUGUCCCUGUGACUGUGAGGGCCAUGGCUUUGACUCUCUCUCUCUCUCUCUCUCUCUCUCUCUCUCUCUCUCUCUCUCUCUCUCUCUCUCUCUCUCUCAAGAAGCUGGUUUUCCUCAAGUGGCAAUGGCUGGCUCUCUUCCUCCUGUUCACAUUUAUGUGCAAGAAAGAAGCAGGAUGUUGGGGGGGGGGGACCUGGUGACUGACAACUGUCAGGACAGGACAGAGCAGGACUGCAGAUAGUAGACACCUUUCUCCCAGCCUGGCACUGUUGGGCAUUGCCAGGCAGCUGGGAAUGAUGCCAGAACUGACCUUGGUUGGAUGGACCUCAAGGGUGCUGCCAGAGCCCUACUCCCCCACUCCCUACAUCUCUGUGGGGUCCUUUAACGUUGGCAUCCCCUUUCCUUUGUCUUAGGGGAUCCCAGGACCUUUCUGCCUGGACUUUCAUUUCUGUGAGGUUUGGAGAAAGCAGCAGGAAAUCAAGGCACACAGCUGAAUCAGUUGCCACUCAAGGGUUUGUCUACAGCUUCCAGAUAUUGCUGGUGUUUCCCCUUCUUUCUUGUCCAUGCUUGUAAGUUCAUGUGUGUGUAAAAGUACACACUCAUCCCUCCAGAGUUCAGGGGAUUGGUUACAGGACCCCCCUAGAUACCCAAACCCAGGAAUGCUUAAGCCCUUUUAUAAAAUGGCAUACAAGUUCGUGUGUGUGUGUGUGUGUGUGUGUGUGUGUGUGUGUGUGUGCGCAUUUAGUCAUGUACAUCCUUCUGUAGACUGUAAGUUAUUUCUAGACUCCUUAUAAUAUAAUGCACUUGCUGUGUAACUGAUUGUUGUAGUACACUGUUUAGAAAAUAAUGACAAUAGAAAACGAGGCCUGGAGGGUUGUCCAGAGCCCCUGGUCCAGGUCACUCCCUGUCUUGGAUGGCUUCUUCCAGUCUUCAUCUAUGGUAAGUACAUGUUUGCUUAGGAAGGUUAAAAUCCACAUGCAUGUGAGUGAUCCUAACAACCUCACUGCCCUUUCACAACGGCUGCCUGGAUGGUUUUAUUUAUCAGCCAGAUUUAUAAGCCAUUGGCACAGACAACAGAGCUGGGAUUUAGUUCUUUUCAGCAUCUUGUCUGUGAUUUUUAGAGGUGUCACCUCAACUGCUUGCAUCUUAUCUUCCCCGUUAUUGAAAUGAAGGUGAGAGUCUCUUCUACAGUCGUGUUGGGAAUGUUAGAAGAGACAUUCUGGGUCCAAGAAGGGGAAAUCUCCCUUGUGGAAGGUGGUGUAACUGCUCUAAGGACCACCAGGUGGCGCUAUUGGCAUCCUUGACUAAGCACAGCCAUGCUCAAAGGAGCAGACAGCUGCAGCUUCUGCCUCCUUUCUGUUCUGUUUUAAAAUGAUGACUCCCCCAGGGUGACAGAAUCCAAGUCUUUGGUGUCAAAGCCAUGCACACUUUUAAAACUAUCAAAUAAUAACUGAGUAUUUACAGGGUACAGCCUGACACUUUGAUACAUGUUUACAAUGGGGAAUGAUUAAAGCAGGAUAAUUAUGAAAUCCAUCACUUCACAUGCUUCUCAUUUUUUAAAUUGAGAACACUUGAAAUCUGUUCCUUUAGCAAUUUUGAAAUUUGUGAUGUGUUAUUAUUUAUCCUCGUCAUGAUUUUGUGCAACAGAGCAUGCAUA